This 253-nucleotide ribosomal RNA is filed under the name uncultured bacterium. Its description in RNAcentral is "partial 16S ribosomal RNA". It matches the Rfam family "Bacterial small subunit ribosomal RNA", at positions 524 to 776 of the family's 1533-position model. The record is from RNAcentral.
UACGUAGGGGGCAAGCGUUGUCCGGAUUUAUUGGGCGUAAAGAGCUUGUAGGCGGUCUGUCGCGUCUGCUGUGAAAAUCCGGGGCUCAACCCCGGACUUGCAGUGGGUACGGGCAGACUAGAGUGUGGUAGGGGAGACUGGAAUUCCUGGUGUAGCGGUGAAAUGCGCAGAUAUCAGGAGGAACACCGAUGGCGAAGGCAGGUCUCUGGGCCACGACUGACGCUGAGAAGCGAAAGCAUGGGGAGCGAACAGG